AUGAAGUGGUUCAUCUGCUCUUUGAUUAUUUUAAAUCUUGGUCCAUUCGGGGUCCUGUCUGAAGUGCAGUUGGUCCAACCUGGAUCAGAAGUGGUGAAGCUGGGAGAGACCCUGAGGCUGACAUGCACAGUCUCAUUUAAUGAUAGUAGUAAAGGCAUCGAAGACUAUGCUUGGAGCUGGAUCCGGCAGCCUCCUGGGAAAGGCCUGGAAUGGAUGGGACUGAUAGCUCCAUCAGAUGACAGCACAGGUUACGCUCCAGCCUUCCAAUCCCGUAUAACCAUUUCGGCUGAUGCUUCCACAAAUAAGAUCCACCUUCAUCUGAGCUCCAUGGCAGCUGCAGACACGGCCACGUAUUACUGUGCUAGAGAUCCACAGUGA
Molecule: non-coding RNA, 378 nt
Organism: Eublepharis macularius
Lineage: Eukaryota; Metazoa; Chordata; Lepidosauria; Squamata; Eublepharidae
Source: the annotation of a RefSeq genome assembly